This 28-nucleotide non-coding RNA is filed under the name Rattus norvegicus (Norway rat). Lineage: Eukaryota; Metazoa; Chordata; Mammalia; Rodentia; Muridae. The record is from RNAcentral.
UGCUGAUGCAGACACAAGGUGCAGACAC